RNAcentral lists this ribosomal RNA (309 nucleotides) under uncultured bacterium. RNAcentral's name for it is "partial 16S ribosomal RNA". It matches the Rfam family "Bacterial small subunit ribosomal RNA", at positions 504 to 807 of the family's 1533-position model. The record is from RNAcentral.
AGAGACAGCAGUCGCCACGGGAAUACGGAGGGGGCUAGCGUUGUUCGGAAUUACUGGGCGUAAAGCGCACGUAGGCGGCGAUCUAAGUCAGGGGUGAAAGCCCGGGGCUCAACCCCGGAAUAGUCUUUGAGACUGGAUUGCUAGAAUCUGGGAGAGGUGAGUGGAAUUCCGAGUGUAGAGGUGAAAUUCGUAGAUAUUCGGAAGAACACCAGUGGCGAAGGUGGCUCACUGGACCAGUAUUGACGCUGAGGUGCGAAAGCGUGGGGAGCAAACAGGAUUAGAUACCCGUGUAGUCCCUGUCUCUUAUAC